This 2025-nucleotide ribosomal RNA is filed under the name Triticum aestivum (bread wheat). RNAcentral describes it as "partial small subunit ribosomal RNA". The record is from RNAcentral. Lineage: Eukaryota; Viridiplantae; Streptophyta; Magnoliopsida; Poales; Poaceae.
CCGGUGGCUCCCACGACCACGAAUACCCCGUGGCCCUGUGCCGUGUUGUCUGAUCGAAGCCCCGUCUCUCUCUGCUCUGCUCUGUCUCCUCUGCUCAGCUCACCCCCUUUCCCCAGAUCCGACGCGAAUGGCCUCCUAUGACGGCGAGGACGACUCCGGCCGGCGGCGCCCGCCGCCGCAGCAGCACCGCCCGUCCGGCGGGGGCAGCGGCGACCUCGCCGCCAGCGCCAAGCUGGUGGCGGAGGCGGCCAAGGCGGCGCUCCAGGACCACAACCUGGGGAAGGUCGACAAGGGCCGCACCGCCGAGGCCGCCGCCGACCUGCUCCACGCGGCCUCCCUCUACGGCAAGCUCGAGGGCAAGCCCGUCGGCGGCUACCUCAACAAGGCCGAGGACUACCUCCACAAGUUCGGCGCCAAGGAGGGGGGCAGCGGAGGCGGCAAGCACCAGCCCAGUGGUCACGGGGGUUCAGGCGGCAGGUACGAGGAGGAGGAUGAGUACAGGAAGAAGCCUACUAGUGGUGGUGGGAGGUACGAACAGGAUGAUGAUGAGUACAAGAAGAAGCCCAGCGGUGAUGGGAGGUAUGAAGAGGAUGAUGAGUACAGGAAGAAGCCUACUGGUGGUGGUGGUGACUACGGAGGUGGAAGGUAUGAGGAAGAAGAUGAGUACAAGAAGAAGCCUAGCAGUGGUGGCUAUGGUGGGGGGAGGUAUGAGCAAGAAGAUGACUUCAAGAGGCCUCCUAGUGGUGGUGGUGGUGGCGGCUAUGGUGGGGGAAGGUAUGAAGACGAUGAUGAGUACAAGAAGAAGCCUAGUGCUGGUGGAUAUGGAGGUGGAGGAGGGAGAUACGAAGAUGAGUACAAGAAGAAGCCAACCGGUGGCCAUGGUGGAGGGAGGUAUGAGGAAGAUGAUGAGUACAAGAGGCCUAGUGGUGGAAGCCAUGGAGGGAGGUAUGAAGAAGAGGACUACAAGAAGAAGCCUAGUGGUGGAGGAAGGUAUGAAGAAGAGGACUACAAGAAGAAGCCUAGUGGUGGAGGAAGGUAUGAAGAAGAUGACUACAAGAAGAAGCCUAGUGGUGGAAGCCAUGGAGGGAAGGAUGAGUCAGAAGGCGGUGGCAUUGGAGACUACAUUAAACUUGCACAAGGUUUCAUGAAGAAGCAGGAUGACGAGGGUGGGCACAAGAAGACUAGUGGACAUGGAGGAGGAGGGUAUGGAAAGGAGGAAAAUGAAGAGGACAGCGGCAAGAAGAAACAUGGUGGUCGCCCUGAGAGUGGAAAAGACGAGUCGGAGGGCAGUGGCAUGGCAGAUUACCUGAAACUUGCACAGGGUUUCAUGAAGAAGGAUGGUGAAGGGGGAAGUGGAGCUGGUAUGGGGGACUACUUAAAGCUUGCAGAGGGGUUCAUGAAGAAGCGUUGAUUUAUAACUGAUCUUCGCUACCAUUGCGAUUGAUGAAGGACUUUGUGUUUGGUUAGUCCCUUGUCUUGUUUAACAUCUGUAUGUUGUGGGAUUUCCUAUGAUUUCCGCCGACAAAGCUGUCUUUGCGCUGUGUGCAAUGUACUGAAUGCCCAAGGUGCUACUUUCGAUUUCAGGAGAAUAAAAGAUUGGAUGAAUAAACGUGUGUUAUUCACGCUUUGUAAAUAGUUUUGACUUGAAAUAAUUAUUGUAGUGUUAUCAUAAUAGAAGUGUUGAAUAGAACUUGUGUCUUCUAAUGGCUAUUAUUUGAAUGUAGCUAUGCUGGUGAUCUAUCUUAGUAUCUUAUUAUACUGAACUGAACCCUAAUGCAAUGCUGUGCGUAUCUAAAACCCUUGGGCUAAAUCUGAAACAAAAAAAGGCACAUAUGAAGAUCAUGAUUAAUAUAUGUUGUAGCAUUAUGUUUGCUGGAUUCAGUUAAAGAGACACUCUGUUUCUUUUCAGCAAGUGUUUUGACUUUGCCCUGUGAAAUCGUCUCUAAGUGGGUUGGUUGAAAAACUGUUUUUAUCUGCAUCUUACUUUCCUGUUCCACCUACUGGCUCUGAUCUUGUAGCUAAACU